This 445-nucleotide ribosomal RNA is filed under the name uncultured Propionibacteriaceae bacterium. RNAcentral describes it as "bacterial SSU rRNA". It matches the Rfam family "Bacterial small subunit ribosomal RNA", at positions 338 to 795 of the family's 1533-position model. The record is from RNAcentral. Lineage: Bacteria; Bacillati; Actinomycetota; Actinomycetes; Propionibacteriales; Propionibacteriaceae.
CCUACGGGUGGCUGCAGUGGGGAAUAUUGCGCAAUGGGCGAAAGCCUGACGCAGCAACGCCGCGUGCGGGAUGACGGCCUUCGGGUUGUAAACCGCUUUCAGCAGGGACGAAGGGUUUCUGACGGUACCUGCAGAAGAAGCACCGGCUAACUACGUGCCAGCAGCCGCGGUGAUACGUAGGGUGCGAGCGUUGUCCGGAAUUAUUGGGCGUAAAGAGCUUGUAGGCGGUCCGUUGCGUCGGAAGUGAAAACUCGGGGCUUAACCCCGAGCCUGCUUUCGAUACGGGCGGACUUGAGGGAUGUAGGGGAGAACGGAAUUCCUGGUGGAGCGGUGGAAUGCGCAGAUAUCAGGAGGAACACCAGUGGCGAAGGCGGUUCUCUGGACAUUUCCUGACGCUGAGAAGCGAAAGCGUGGGGAGCAAACAGGCUUAGAUACCCCAGUAGUC